Molecule: ribosomal RNA, 410 nt
Filed under: bacterium
Lineage: Bacteria
Description: partial 16S ribosomal RNA
Rfam family: Bacterial small subunit ribosomal RNA
Source: RNAcentral
UGGGGAAUUUUGCACAAUGGGCGGAAGCCUGAUGCAGCGACGCCGUGUGGGGGAUGAAGGCCUUCGGGUUGUAAACUCCUUUCGUCAGGGACGAAGUUUGUUUGACGGUACCUGGAUAAGAAGCACCGGCUAACUACGUGCCAGCAGCCGCGGUAAUACGUAGGGUGCGAGCGUUGUCCGGAUUUACUGGGCGUAAAGGGCUCGUAGGUGGUGUGUUGUGUCGUCUGUGUAAUCCAGGGGCUUAACUUUUGGUUGGCAGGCGAUACGGGCAUUGCUUGAGUGCUGUAGGGGAGACUGGAAUUCCUGGUGUAGCGGUGAAAUGCGCAGAUAUCAGGAGGGUCACCGAUGGCGAAGGCAGGUCUCUGGGCAGUUACUGACGCUGAGGAGCGAGAGCAUGGGUAGCGAACAGG